GAUGAACGCUGGCGGUAUGCUUAACACAUGCAAGUCGAACGGUGUCUUCGGACACAGUGGCGGACGGGUGAGUAACGCGUGAGAAUCUGGCUCUAGGUCUGGGACAACCACUGGAAACGGUGGCUAAUACCGGAUGUGCCGAGAGGUGAAAGGUUAACUGCCUAGAGAUGAGCUCGCGUCUGAUUAGCUAGUUGGAAGUGUAAUGGACUCCCAAGGCGACGAUCAGUAGCUGGUCUGAGAGGACGAUCAGCCACACUGGGACUGAGACACGGCCCAGACUCCUACGGGAGGCAGCAGUGGGGAAUUUUCCGCAAUGGGCGAAAGCCUGACGGAGCAAUACCGCGUGAGGGAGGAAGGCUCUUGGGUCGUAAACCUCUUUUCUCAGGGAAGAACAAAAUGACGGUACCUGAGGAAUAAGCAUCGGCUAACUCCGUGCCAGCAGCCGCGGUAAUACGGAGGAUGCAAGCGUUAUCCGGAAUGAUUGGGCGUAAAGCGUCCGCAGGUGGCAAUGUAAGUCUGCUGUUAAAGAGUCUAGCUCAACUAGAUAAAAGCAGUGGAAACUACAUAGCUAGAGUACGUUCGGGGCAGAGGGAAUUCCUGGUGUAGCGGUGAAAUGCGUAGAGAUCAGGAAGAACACCGGUGGCGAAGGCGCUCUGCUAGGCCGUAACUGACACUGAGGGACGAAAGCUAGGGGAGCGAAUGGGAUUAGAUACCCCAGUAGUCCUAGCCGUAAACGAUGGAUACUAGGCGUGGCUUGUAUCGACCCGAGCCGUGCCGUAGCUAACGCGUUAAGUAUCCCGCCUGGGGAGUACGCCGGCAACGGUGAAACUCAAAGGAAUUGACGGGGGCCCGCACAAGCGGUGGAGUAUGUGGUUUAAUUCGAUGCAACGCGAAGAACCUUACCAAGGCUUGACAUGUCGCGAAUCUUCUUGAAAGGGAAGAGUGCCUUCGGGAGCGCGAACACAGGUGGUGCAUGGCUGUCGUCAGCUCGUGUCGUGAGAUGUUGGGUUAAGUCCCGCAACGAGCGCAACCCUCGUUUUUAGUUGCCAGCAUUAAGUUGGGCACUCUAGAGAGACUGCCGGUGACAAACCGGAGGAAGGUGGGGAUGACGUCAAGUCAGCAUGCCCCUUACGCCUUGGGCUACACACGUACUACAAUGCUCCGGACAGAGGGCAGCAAGCAUGCGAAUGCAAGCAAAUCCCGUAAACCGGAGCUCAGUUCAGAUCGCAGGCUGCAACUCGCCUGCGUGAAGGAGGAAUCGCUAGUAAUUGCAGGUCAGCAUACUGCAGUGAAUUCGUUCCCGGGCCUUGUACACACCGCCCGUCACACCAUGGAAGCUGGUAGUGCCCGAAGUCAUUACUCCAACCAUUCGUGGAGGAGGAUGCCUAAGGCAGGACUGGUGACUGGGGUGAAGUCGUAACAAGGUAGCCGUACCGGAAGGUGUGGCUGGAUCACCUCCUUU
This 1462-nucleotide ribosomal RNA is filed under the name Nostoc sp. Lukesova 1/86. RNAcentral describes it as "bacterial SSU rRNA". It matches the Rfam family "Bacterial small subunit ribosomal RNA". Lineage: Bacteria; Bacillati; Cyanobacteriota; Cyanophyceae; Nostocales; Nostocaceae. The record is from RNAcentral.